UAACAAAGUGGUGACUCCAAUUGCAGC
This 27-nucleotide non-coding RNA is filed under the name Homo sapiens (human). The record is from RNAcentral. Lineage: Eukaryota; Metazoa; Chordata; Mammalia; Primates; Hominidae.